Molecule: long non-coding RNA, 1624 nt
Organism: Carassius auratus (goldfish)
Lineage: Eukaryota; Metazoa; Chordata; Actinopteri; Cypriniformes; Cyprinidae
Exons: 3
Source: RefSeq, a predicted model, not a curated record
AAAAACAUUUUUUUACAAAAGUUCCCUACAGCACCUUUAAAUGGGAAGGUUUCUGGGUGAUAUUCUGACUUCAGAAGUCCAGUGCAGAAGUUUACAAAUGUGAUCCAGUGCUGUUUGAGAGCCUUCACCAUCAUCAAUACAGAAAAGGAACAAUGUUUUUCUCUCUAUUACAUCUGUAGAUGAGGUCGUGCUACAAACGAAUGAUUCGAUUGCAAACGUUUGUUCUUGGGUUGAAAACCACUAAACGUAUCCUUUCAAUCCAACAUCAGACCGCAAGGUUAAUGUAAAUGCAUUGAAUCAUUCUGCACGAAUCAUUAUUAGUAGUGCUGUGAAAAGAUUGAGAGCAGUUCUGAUGUGUACAGAUUUAACUGUAGAAAUAACUGAAGUCCCCAAAUUGCAUUACUCUUUAAGUGCUCUGUUUUUAAACUUAGGGUUCUCGUUGUCUUUAGGCGGUCAAACUAGACUUUAGACAAGUAGUCUUGUAAAUAUAAAAUGAGUGUGUAACUGUUUUUUUCUUCUUUGUGUGUUUCCUGCUUCCUGUAGAUGAUGACUCAGGAUCUGCACCGCUGAAGAGCAACGCCGCUACCAACCACAAAGACAAAAAUGUCCGGCAAAGGAACUCCAACUGAGGAAGGAGAAAAGGUGGCUUGAUGACUACUGUUGAAGAUAAUGUGGAGCAUUGAGUUACUGAGAAGCACAUUAUAGUGCGCACUGCGAGUUCUUCACCUUCUGCUUAAGUGUAAAUGUCUUUUACUUUUCAUAUCCAUAUUGUGCUACCAACAGUUUAUUUUACAUUUGGGGGGAGGGGGGAAAUGCAUGAUUGCACUAUUGCUGUAGAAGUGUGUUUAUUGAAUGUGUUGAUGUGGGAAUGAACUUUUAUUUUUUUGUCUUUUUGGUUUCUCUCACUGUUGAGUGUGGGCACCACAGCUUUUCGAAAUGUCUACCUAUUAUAAUUGAAUCACUGUUCAGCCGCAUGAGAAUGUAAUCAUGUUCAGUAUACACAAAAACACUGAAUCAAGUUUUUAUCACUCUUGACUAUUGACAGUCGUUUUCCUUUCUGUAAGCCAUAAUGUUUAACCACUUUAUUGUACAUGCUGUUUUUAAUUUUUUAAAUUUAAAUUAACUUUUUGUGUAGUACUCAUUUUGUCGCUGCACAUUUUAAAGUGCACUAUUCCACAUGGACGGACGAAUGGCACUUUUAAUAAUCAGUUUAAUAAUCUCAAACAACUAAUUUUAAAGUUGCUAAUGUAGUUUCUAAUGAUGACUUUGAGUAUUCCUCCUGCCUAACCUGUAAGGACCAAGUGCUAGUACAGUGUUUCAUUUGCUGUUCGCAGAAUCCGUUAUAAUUGUUUCCCAAAUUCUAACAUGAAGGACGAUGACAUGGUUAUAAAUAUUUAGGUAAUGUCAGUGAUGGUGGGGUUUUCGUGAAGGCUUUUGGUUAAAUGGGCCUGUCCUAUCGACAGACAUGCUUGCAUCCAGAUACUAUACAAUGUAUUCCAAUGCAUAUCGUUUCAAAGUUAAAAGAUGCAUAACAUUUAAGACCUUGUUUUUGGCUUAAGAGGAAAUCUCAUACACGAUCAACUGUAAUGAUUUGCACACUCUGAAUAAAGUUAUUUUAUUUUAA